Molecule: ribosomal RNA, 949 nt
Filed under: uncultured Pseudomonas sp.
Lineage: Bacteria; Pseudomonadati; Pseudomonadota; Gammaproteobacteria; Pseudomonadales; Pseudomonadaceae
Description: bacterial SSU rRNA
Rfam family: Bacterial small subunit ribosomal RNA
Source: RNAcentral
AGGGUUUGAUUAUGGCUCAGAUUGAACGCUGGCGGCAGGCCUAACACAUGCAAGUCGAGCGGUAGAGAGGUGCUUGCACCUCUUGAGAGCGGCGGACGGGUGAGUAAUGCCUAGGAAUCUGCCUGGUAGUGGGGGAUAACGCUCGGAAACGGACGCUAAUACCGCAUACGUCCUACGGGAGAAAGCAGGGGACCUUCGGGCCUUGCGCUAUCAGAUGAGCCUAGGUCGGAUUAGCUAGUUGGUGGGGUAAUGGCUCACCAAGGCGACGAUCCGUAACUGGUCUGAGAGGAUGAUCAGUCACACUGGAACUGAGACACGGUCCAGACUCCUACGGGAGGCAGCAGUGGGGAAUAUUGGACAAUGGGCGAAAGCCUGAUCCAGCCAUGCCGCGUGUGUGAAGAAGGUCUUCGGAUUGUAAAGCACUUUAAGUUGGGAGGAAGGGCAUUAACCUAAUACGUUAGUGUUUUGACGUUACCGACAGAAUAAGCACCGGCUAACUCUGUGCCAGCAGCCGCGGUAAUACAGAGGGUGCAAGCGUUAAUCGGAAUUACUGGGCGUAAAGCGCGCGUAGGUGGUUCGUUAAGUUGGAUGUGAAAUCCCCGGGCUCAACCUGGGAACUGCAUUCAAAACUGUCGAGCUAGAGUAUGGUAGAGGGUGGUGGAAUUUCCUGUGUAGCGGUGAAAUGCGUAGAUAUAGGAAGGAACACCAGUGGCGAAGGCGACCACCUGGACUGAUACUGACACUGAGGUGCGAAAGCGUGGGGAGCAAACAGGAUUAGAUACCCUGGUAGUCCACGCCGUAAACGAUGUCAACUAGCCGUUGGGAGCCUUGAGCUCUUAGUGGCGCAGCUAACGCAUUAAGUUGACCGCCUGGGGAGUACGGCCGCAAGGUUAAAACUCAAAUGAAUUGACGGGGGCCCGCACAAGCGGUGGAGCAUGUGGUUUAAUUC